RNAcentral lists this ribosomal RNA (492 nucleotides) under uncultured bacterium. RNAcentral's name for it is "partial 16S ribosomal RNA". It matches the Rfam family "Bacterial small subunit ribosomal RNA", at positions 29 to 507 of the family's 1533-position model. The record is from RNAcentral.
AGUGAACGCUGGCGGUAGGCCUAACACAUGCAAGUCGAACGGCAGCACAGUAAGAGCUUGCUCUUACGGGUGGCGAGUGGCGGACGGGUGAGGAAUACAUCGGAAUCUACUUUUUCGUGGGGGAUAACGUAGGGAAACUUACGCUAAUACCGCAUACGACCUACGGGUGAAAGCAGGGGAUCUUCGGACCUUUCGCGAUUGAAUGAGCCGAUGUCGGAUUAGCUAGUUGGGGAGGUAAAGGCCCACCAAGGCGAAGAUCCGUAGCUGGUCUGAGAGGAUGAUCAGCCACACUGGAACUGAGACAACGUCCAGACUCCUACGGGAGGCAGCAGUGGGGAAUAUUGGACAAUGGGCGCAAGCCUGAUCCAGCCAUACCGCGUGGGUGAAGAAGGCCUUCGGGUUGUAAAGCCCUUUUGUUGGGAAAGAAAAGCAGCAGGUUAAUACCCCGCUGUUCUGACGGUACCCAAAGAAUAAGCACCGGCUAACUUCGUG